RNAcentral lists this ribosomal RNA (239 nucleotides) under uncultured bacterium. RNAcentral's name for it is "partial 16S ribosomal RNA". It matches the Rfam family "Bacterial small subunit ribosomal RNA", at positions 42 to 305 of the family's 1533-position model. The record is from RNAcentral.
GCACGCUUAACACAUGCAAGUCGAACGAGAAAUUUAUUUCUAGUGGCGAAAGGGUGAGUAACACGUGGGAAUCUGCCCAGUAGUGGGGAAUAACUGAUGGAAACAUUAGCUAAUACCGCAUAUCCUAGAGAUAGGAAAGGUCGCAAGACCGCUAUUGGAUGAGCCUGCGGCUGAUUAGCUUGUUGGUCAGGUAAAGGCUCACCAAGGCUGCGAUCAGUAGCUGAUCUGAGAGGAUGGUC